Long non-coding RNA from Mus musculus (house mouse), 1445 nucleotides. RefSeq annotates it as predicted gene, 45972. The transcript is spliced from 3 exons. NCBI's taxonomy places the organism in Eukaryota, Metazoa, Chordata, Mammalia, Rodentia, Muridae. The record is from RefSeq and is marked validated.
AGCCCUUUCCCCUGCUCCACCAAGGAAAGGCCGCAGAUACCACAGCAGGGCUGCUGGCCUGGGAAACUGAUGGCCUACGAAGCAAGACUGCCUGCCGCUGGUGGCCCUUCCCAGCUUAGAUCGUUAGCUUUCACCGCACAAUAAGCCACUUGUCUCCAGUUUUCCAAACCUUCAUCUCAGGCUCCAGAGAGGGGCUGGACAAGCCAAAUCAGCUUGAGAAGCUUUAGCUUUGGGCGCUGGGGAAGAGGCCUGGAAAGAACAAGUGGCCCUUGAGUCAACGAGAGGGUCCUUGGAGGUCUUCUCUGGACAAGCACUGCAGCCCCCGCCCUGAGGGAUGGAACUGGGCAUCUGUCACUGACCCAAACGAACACUCCCUAGGAACCGACCGGUCCCCCUCUCCGCUACCCACAGCCACCCCUCUAGGAGCAGCCUCCUGCAUUCCUCCAGGACCCAAAGCCUUCAUCGCCGGCGUUUCCUAUUUCCUCCUCCCGGGGACCGGGUAGAUGUGAUUCUAAAACCAAUCGCCCGGAGAGGGAUCCGAAUGCUGCCUGGGAGGUGGCGGGGGUGGGGAUGUCCUGGAGCUCCUCAUUUGAAGCCUCAGACUGUCUGUUUGGGGGUCCUACCAAUUCCAUCUGCUGCUAAAACCGCUUCUAGAAGUCCCAAGGGCCGCAUGGGAGGUCCCGAGGGGCCCGGCCUCUCCCUCCCAGGGUUCGCUCGCCAUCUCCGGGAUGGGGGGGUCUCCACCCGACUUCAGCCGCCUCACUCACCAUGGCGAGGCACCGGUAUCCGGAGCUCGGGGAUCGAGGUUACUCUGGCGGCGGCAGCAGCUGCAGCAGCUCGAGCUCCGCCGCGCGUCCGCGCCUCCACACUCUUUGCCCGCAGCGCGCGCCACCGCCGCCGCCGCCCGCCCCAACGGUCCCUCAACGGCCGCCGCGCGCGCCCCGCCUCGCCCGGCCCCGCCCCAGACGGCUCGCGCGCUCCCGCUGCACUGCGGCUUCCUACGGAUCCCUUCGCGUCAGGCUCGUGCGGCUCGCCCCUUCCACAGAGCCCAGCGAAUCUGCUGCCGCACGGGCACGCGCACGCGCGUUCCCCACCGCGGGGACUACUUUCGCUCUCGGCGCUCUCGGCCCCUUGCAUCCGCUCCGCUUUCCUCUCUGGCGGAAGGGCACCGGUUUACGGAGAGUGACACGUCUCUGUGUGAGCCACGCCGCUAUUGGACCCGCCUCGUGGCGGAAAUGAGAACGCAACUCCGAUUGGUCCGGCCUUCCCUGCAAUGCGUCAAACUGGGGCGAGCCACCGCGCGGUGUGCGGGGGGCAGCACGACCUGUGUGGCUCUGUGGAGCCGCGAGGAAUAGAGGGGCUAAGACGGAAACAGGGUGGAUGUUGGAGAAGCAAAUACGUUGUCUCUAUGGCUCGGAAAUAAAAAUGGGUUGGGGGAAGAAGCA